CCUACGGGUGGCAGCAGUAGGGAAUUUUCGUCAAUGGGCGCAAGCCUGAACGAGCAAUGCCGCGUGAACGAGGAAGGUCUUCGGAUCGUAAAGUUCUGUCAGCAGGGAAGAACGGUCACUGUGCUAAUCAGCAGUGAAUUGACGGUACCUGCAAAGGAAGCACCGGCUAACUCCGUGCCAGCAGCCGCGGUAAUACGGAGGGUGCGAGCGUUAAUCGGAAUUACUGGGCGUAAAGCGCUCGUAGGCGGUAUGUCAAGUCAAGGGUGAAAUCCCCGCGCUCAACGUGGGAACUGCCUUUGAAACUGGCAAACUGGAGUGUGUGAGAGGAUAGUGGAAUUCCAGGUGUAGGAGUGAAAUCCGUAGAUAUCUGGAGGAACAUCAGUGGCGAAGGCGACUAUCUGGCACAUAACUGACGCUGAGGAGCGAAAGCGUGGGUAGCAAACAGGAUUAGAUACCCUUGUAGUC
RNAcentral lists this ribosomal RNA (465 nucleotides) under uncultured bacterium. Its description in RNAcentral is "partial 16S ribosomal RNA". It matches the Rfam family "Bacterial small subunit ribosomal RNA", at positions 338 to 795 of the family's 1533-position model. The record is from RNAcentral.